This is a long non-coding RNA of Venturia canescens, 792 nucleotides long. RefSeq lists it as uncharacterized. The transcript has 3 exons. The record is from RefSeq and is a predicted model, not a curated record. NCBI's taxonomy places the organism in Eukaryota, Metazoa, Arthropoda, Insecta, Hymenoptera, Ichneumonidae.
GCUCAUACCAAGACGAAUGGUUGUUUUAUUUCGGAGCCCGUUUUUGUUAAAAAUUUUCACUGCAUGCAUUACUAAAAAAUCGAGCGGUCAUCGGAUAAUGCCAAGACGAUUUUCUCAAGCGCCUCCGAAAAAAAAUUGAAAGUAAGUCACAAGUAUACAGAAAUGGUGAAACGGGAAGCACGCCUGGAAAACAAACCCUAGUAUGAAUCAUGGCAAUUCUGGAAAUUCCAAUGAAACUACAAACGACGUUUUGAUGCAAGAUUUUUCAAAUAUCCAAAUCGAGUAUCUCGAAUCACUAACAAGUCAAAAAACGAUAAGAAAGAAUACAGUAUCUGCGAGAAGAUAAAUUCUGAAUCUGGAACAAGGAAACUUCAAAUUUUUGUUUUUCUCUAAGAAUUUAUAUUCUGAAAAAUGACAAAAAUAUAACCUCGCUCGACAGUGGAGUUACAUUCCGCUUAUAACUACAAUGUGCCAAACAUGUGAGGUGCUAGAUGGAUUAUGCAUUCAUUGUGGAAAUAUGAUCUCUAGUUAACAACAUCGGUGAACACCAUUCUCAUGCACAGUAGGCACAACGACGAGAAUCCUCGACGAAAUAUCUGUUGGAUGUCUGAACCGAUGAAGUUGUUUGACGAAAUUGAAUAUGAAAAGUGCACGGGCUCAACGCAAAAGUUCUCGAGCAUCUUGUCAAAUUUUACGUGAAUCAACCACGCGGAAGAGAAGGCGUGCAAAUGAAGCCCUAUCUACAACAUGGCGAGGGACUCGUUGUAAUGUUGCUGGUGAUAUGAAAAGAAU